UACCCUUGACAUGCCACUAACGAAGCAGAGAUGCAUUAGGUGCUCGAAAGAGAAAGUGGACACAGGUGCUGCAUGGCUGUCGUCAGCUCGUGUCGUGAGAUGUUGGGUUAAGUCCCGCAACGAGCGCAACCCUUGUCUCUAGUUGCUACGAAAGGGCACUCUAGAGAGACUGCCGGUGACAAACCGGAGGAAGGUGGGGAUGACGUCAAGUCCUCAUGGCCCUUAUGGGUAGGG
RNAcentral lists this ribosomal RNA (234 nucleotides) under uncultured bacterium. RNAcentral describes it as "partial 16S ribosomal RNA". It matches the Rfam family "Bacterial small subunit ribosomal RNA", at positions 976 to 1213 of the family's 1533-position model. The record is from RNAcentral.